GACGAACGCUGGCGGCGUGCCUAAUACAUGCAAGUAGAACGCACAGUUUAUACCGUAGCUUGCUACACCAUAGACUGUGAGUUGCGAACGGGUGAGUAACGCGUAGGUAACCUGCCUGGUAGCGGGGGAUAACUAUUGGAAACGAUAGCUAAUACCGCAUAAUAUUAAUUAUUGCAUGAUAAUUAAUUGAAAGGUGCAAUUGCACCACUACCAGAUGGACCUGCGUUGUAUUAGCUAGUAGGUGAGGUAACGGCUCACCUAGGCGACGAUACAUAGCCGACCUGAAAGGGUGAUCGGCCACACUGGGACUGAGACACGGCCCAGACUCCUACGGGAGGCAGCAGUAGGGAAUCUUCGGCAAUGGACGAAAGUCUGACCGAGCAACGCCGCGUGAGUGAAGAAGGUUUUCGGAUCGUAAAGCUCUGUUGUAAGAGAAGAACGGGUGUGAGAGUGGAAAGUUCACACUGUGACGGUAUCUUACCAGAAAGGGACGGCUAACUACGUG
RNAcentral lists this ribosomal RNA (505 nucleotides) under uncultured bacterium. RNAcentral describes it as "partial 16S ribosomal RNA". It matches the Rfam family "Bacterial small subunit ribosomal RNA", at positions 28 to 507 of the family's 1533-position model. The record is from RNAcentral.